Molecule: unclassified non-coding RNA, 340 nt
Filed under: soil metagenome
Description: partial contains 5.8S ribosomal RNA, internal transcribed spacer 2, and large subunit ribosomal RNA
Rfam family: 5.8S ribosomal RNA (bases 1-120)
Source: RNAcentral
GAUGAAGAACGCAGCGAAAUGCGAUAAGUAAUGUGAAUUGCAGAAUUCCGUGAAUCAUCGAAUCUUUGAACGCAUAUUGCGCCCUCUGGUAUUCCGGAGGGCAUGCCUGUCCGAGCGUCAUUACUACCUUCAAGCACGGCUUGGUUGUUGAGCCAAUUGUCCUGUUGAUGGACAGGCUUAAAAUGUAGUGGCGAUGCCGAGUCCUGUGCCUGAGCAUAUGGAGCCUGUCACGUGCUUUAGUGGCCCAGCCGGCAUUUUUGUCGUUUAAACCUUGAAAAAGAUUUGACCUCGGAUCAGGUAAGGAUACCCGCUGAACUUAAGCAUAUCAAUAAGCGGAGGA